Molecule: transfer RNA, 73 nt
Rfam family: tRNA
About the family: Transfer RNA (tRNA) molecules are approximately 80 nucleotides in length. Their secondary structure includes four short double-helical elements and three loops (D, anti-codon, and T loops).
Source: Rfam
GUUCGCUUAGCUCAGUGGUUAGAGCAUUGGUCUUAUGAGCCAAGGGUCACCGGUUCGAUCCCGGUAGCGAACA